Long non-coding RNA from Myodes glareolus (Bank vole), 5318 nucleotides. RefSeq lists it as uncharacterized. The record is from RefSeq and is a predicted model, not a curated record. NCBI's taxonomy places the organism in Eukaryota, Metazoa, Chordata, Mammalia, Rodentia, Cricetidae.
CUGCCUGCCAUCUGGCUUUGUUGGGAAGAGAAAAGAAACGGGGCUUCCGGCAGCCUGUUGGUGACACCGCAGCAGUGUGGCUCACGCCAAACCUAGCGUCUAUGGCAUGGGGGACCCAGGAGACGCGAGACAUAAGCUAGUGUCAUGUGAUAGGAUGGCCAGUGUAUUUAAAAAGCCUCUAAGACCCUCCUGAGGACUCUGCUAACUGUCCAAACAGAGCCACUUAUUUUUUUUUCUUUCCUGAAUUGGUUCCAGUCAGCUGAACCGCACCAUUUCCCAGCCUCUCUUCAAGAGGGGGCACUGCGGCAGGCCUGGCCAGUGGGGAGCGGCUCGUGUCUGCAAGAAUGAGGACGGCCGUAAGCUUUGCCGUCUUCUCCUCCAGACUUUGCUUCCAUUCUUGCCACAGCCUUGGCACCCCCCCCCCCCCAGGAGGGUCACUAUAGCUGGAGCUGGAGUUCCAGGAUGAAAUGACCAAGACUGGUGGGACAGAAUGGAGAAGCCUGAACCCCACGAGCUCCGAGGAGCCACGGCAUCAUCCUCGAACAUCUCUGGCCUUGUGCCUGUCGUAGCCUGCCUGCCUUCUGGAAUUUGCCUCUUCCCCACUGUGUGUGGUCCUGGUGGCGGGGAAUUCUAGAAUUCUGCCUCCCAUUGUGAAAGCCAAAGGGCCAACUCCAACUCCCCAUGUCUCCUGGGUCCCACUGGGGAACAAGAACGUGCCUCGACCUCUCUUCCGGGAGCGCACAUCUGCUGAAAGUCACGCAGAAUGUCAGCCAAGCUUCUGGGUUGCCAGCAACAGAAUCCAGCUUAGCCAGUUUGGAGUAGGCAUGGAUUUAUUCCAUUGAAGGUGAGAAAGAUCACAGGCCCAAUGGGAAGAAUGGCAGAUGGGCAGCAGCAAGCCAGCCAAGCCAUAACUGUGAUCUUAGCUGAAUAGUCAUCAGGACACCAGCCCAUGUGACUAUAUUCAGGAUGCUACCUUGCUUCCAUGCUGGGCACAGCAUGGUCAUUCUUCCAACUGGUGGCUGCGACUGCAGCUACUCUAGCAUCCUGCCACCUACACAGAAGUACCUUGACACUAUUCUAUGACACUGCCUGCCACCUGUUUCCCAGGUGACAUGUAACUGACCCAUACAUUCAUGUGUCUGUGUCCAACUUCUGAGGAUGCUGGGACCUUGCAUUACAGAAUCCUACAGUAAAGGAUGCUAGGAUCUACAGCUACAUCCACAGUGGAAGCAAUGACCUAGCCACUUGUCUGCAAAGUUUUACGGCAGGAAAUUCAUCAAGCCCGGAAAGGUGACAGAGAAGCAAGGAGAGUGAUAAAAAGCCACGGAAUCCAGAGACAGAGACUGCUGGAGCUCACCAGCAGCAGCAUACAGAUCACUUGCUCCCUGCUGUCUGUGGUGCUCACACUACUGACCUAGGUGUUCAGAAAGGCCCAGGCUCCCACCCUCACCAAGUCUACUCCUCUAAGUUCCUGUCAAUUCUCCAAGCUCCCAACAUCCUGCCAAUAAAUUCCUUUUCGCUGAAGUUAGCCAGUGUUAGUGUCUGCCGCCUGCAACCCAGCAACGCUAGCAAAAGCGUGAGUAAACAUGAGUACUCACUGCUUAUAAAAUGCCAGGCCUCCCGAUAAGGCAGCAGGCCCCUCGAUCUCUCCCCCAGUAGCCUCUCCCUGGGGAAGCCAAGAGGGCCAGCUGUGAAGAAUCUUCUAACUGCCUGCCAGGCCUCAACCCAGACCAAGGAGCCCCAGGAAGUACUACCGUAGAUAACGACCCAGCUGAUCGCACCUAAACGUCUCCCCUCUUAAACCAGGCCAUCAGGACGUGUGCUACCAGACAGAAAACGCAUUUCUGAUUAAACCGCCAUACCCUAACACAAAGGGUUGAAUGGAAAGCUACACUUCCGUCGUUGGUUUGAGAUGUGGAGAAGUGUGAACCAGAAGAGAUGCGCCAUGGUUAAAAAAAUAACAGCUCCCUUAUUCUGCCCCAGCUAGGGGCCAGCCAACCGCUCAGAAGCCCUGCUCAUGUGACUUAAUUCGUUGCUGACUUCCCUCCAUAAUUUCUGGAGAUUGAAAUAUAAUUACCAUAUUUUCUGGAUGAGCAGACUGAAGAGUGCAUGGGUCAGAUUGUUUUCUCUGAGUUACAAAUCAGCAAGGGACGGACAUAGAAUUCAGAGAUUCUGUACCUACAGCUUGCUCUCUUUCUGCCGAUUCCACGAUGUCCAACGUAUGUCUGUGUACAGGAGACCGCCAGCGUGCAACCGCGGAGUUCCAUCCCUCUGAUUUGUCCAGCUUCCCUCCUCAUCGCCCAAAGCUUCACUCUACCCUCUGAGGAACUUUGUUUCUGUCCUCUUAGCACGCCACAGCACUAACUCUACUGUGAGUUUCUGGAAGAGGCAAAGCAUUUUAAAUCCUUGCCAUGGUGUGUGCCUCAGGACAGCCAGGGCUAUAGGCAGCUCGGGGACUUCUUGGGGCUUUCCAAAUGGCCAUCCCCAGCACCUAUCCAGGUCUGCCUUCCCACAAUCCACCCUACACCUUUCCAUCUGAAUGAGAGCAGAGGCAGAAGGCAAGGGUUCACUUGAUGCUCAGGUCUAAGCCAAUCACUUGUUUUCCAGCUAGAAAGUGGGGAAGGAUGCAGCUGGGAGCUGUGACUCAGUCUAAAGGUACACAUACCUCUGGGACAUGUGGCAUGAGCUGUACUACAUGGAGGGAAACCUCAGACACAUCACCCAUGCACAAUAGGACAGCAGGUCGGUCCCAAUCAGGGGCCGUGGCCACUGUGUUCUAAUGUCAAUGUUCCCUCUUACUGUCUCCUUAUCUACUAGUGAGAGCAGCCAAGUAAAACUAGAGUCUCUGCCAUCUGAGACCUGGGUCUAGACCAUCCUGGUCUUCCAGAAUUCUAAUGGAAAUGACUUGUUUGGUGGGGUAUGACUCAGAGACCACAGGAGUAGCUGAACUAAACCAAAGGGUCCCUGGUAGGAGAGGGAUUCCCUGAUUCAGUGACUCAACGAGAUUGCCAGAAUCACUGGGACAUCCACUCAGGGGAACAGGAGAGGGUGUGUGUCAGCUCAGAAUCCUGCCUGGCACUCUGGGGACAGACAAGGGUGAUUUUCAGGUUGUCAAGAAUUAGGAAGAGCAGGAAAGAAUUCAGCAGAGGUUUCUAAAAGAAAGACUCCCUCCUAGUCAGCGUGGCGUGACGGAUAAGAAUUUUACUGACUCCAGACACUGGGUGCUGCAGACGUGAGUCUAAAAGCGAAUGGCAAGUCGGGAGAGCUGCAGAGAAUCGGGGAUCUGAGCAGAUGGCUGGGGAUCUCCACAGCUUGGGGGUAAGUUGCAUAGGCGAUCUCCUGGUUGUAUGUGGAUCUCUCCCUUUUGGCUUCUUUUGCUUCUCCAGAGCUGGCCCAACCGCAGCAAGCUCUGUGGCACACAACAAGCCUAAUAGCUUCACAGCAAGGAGAGCCUUGACAGAGACAAAUGAGACUCAAUGUCAGUCAGGCUGCACCACCUGGGAGUCUCUGCACCCCUGCCACCCAGGACCAGCCUCACCCCUGCACUCUCAUUAGAUAAGCUGGGAUAUCCUCAGGCCAGAAUAAUGUGCACAACCCCUGCCCGAACCCGAGUGUCAUUAUGACAACUCUCACUUGAAAUUAUUUGUUUUUUCUAUUGAUCUUGAUUCGACACUGGAAAAUGUAUUCUUUGUACAGCUUUCCCAAGGGCUUAAUUUGUCCAUGUUGGAAGCCUUUUUUUAAUAGGAUUCUGCUCCGUUGUUUAUUCUGAACAUUGAGUUCUGAGAGUCAGGAUCCAGUUCCGUUAAUAGAACCUCAUUACCAGGAUCUCUCCACAUCAGAGAUCUGAUAGUGGCACGGUAAGCAAGAGGCUGCUGAGGGGACUCCAGGAGCUGUCAGAUCAAAGGCUCAUGGAGGCUACUCUGUCAUUGCCUCCCGCCACCCUCCUUCUAUCUGCAGACCUAUGGCAAUAACAGCCGUCGAGCAAGACAGCCCUGUGCAGACCUCAUCUCAGAAUGAGUGACCAAAGAAGCAACGUUUCUCAAAGUAUGACCUGUGGAACCCCAGCACCAGAGUCCCCUGAGAUGCCAGUGCAGAGGCAGGCUGCUAGGUCUCAGCAAAACUCCGCCUUGAGAUCUAAACCAACAGAGGGUCCUGCCGUGAGACCCACAUCUCAGCUCCUCAAAGGGACUUCCUUCUGUCCAAGAUGGGUCAGCUUGAUUGUCCACAUCUAAUGUUGGGCUUAAACCUCUUUGUGUGGAUCCCCUGUUUCCAUUCUUGCCUCUGUUCAGAGAUUGUCUGUACAGCCUAGCCCUACCUGCUGACUCCAGAAGUGGACCAGUGAUGCAAUGAGCUCCAAUCAUUCUUCCAUCGAGCAUCACCCAGAAGCCUAACCGGGUGUGCAGUGUUAGCCCGACAGUCUGGUGGAGGGAGUGCCCCCACCAGCUAGGGAAGUGUUCCCAUCACAGGAUUGCAGGGCACUGAGCCAGUGAGAUGGUGCUCACAUGAUUUUGAGUGGUUCCAAUGGUUUACACAGACAGUCUCCUCUCUGCAAAAAUAAAAUAAAUAAAAUGUGCUGGCCUGAAGUUCUGUGCAGCCUGGAGCAACUCUGCCAAGACCCAGCAAGACAAAAACCCCGAAUAUAGGGUCCAGAAUCACUGCAAUCUACUGGAGAUGUAGUGAAGAGCAGGUUGAAGAGGCAGCUUCACAUCAUCAAAACCAGGCUGGAGCCACAGUUGGCUGCUGGAGGACGAUGAAAGAGUUACGAACGCUUGCUGGACCUUACUUUGCACUCAUGAACGCUUUUGCUUCUAGAACAUUCUGUCUCCUUUCUGCAACAAGAAUCCGGACAGUCCUGCAGAGGUAAGUCCAGGACCAUGCGUAAGACUUUCUCAGACUCACACCUGGCACAGCAGGGGACGAAACACAGAAUCUGACAUUGUUUAGUCAUUCAAAUAUUGACUGAGAUUUAGCUUUGUGCCAGGCACCGUGCUCAGCACUAGUAAGAGAAUGAAACAAUUCAGUUCUUUGCCCUUGUGGGGAAAGACAGAUGUUUGACAGACAGACGACGGUUCACAGCCAUCCGUUUCCUUGCAGUGAUAGCUGGUCCUGUGUAGAGAACACACUUGUGCAUCACCUGAGGAGUUGGGAUUGGCUUCCAGGAGGAGGAGCCUGUUUUCUUGUGCCAUGGAGACCCAGUAAGACUUGUGAAACAAAGAGAAGCAAAGUGUGUGUCUUCUGCUAUAAGGGGUGCUUUCUCUCACUGCCCAGCCCUUUCCAAUAGUCAAUAAAGAUGAUUAACGUGACAGCUGCUUCACAUA